Molecule: ribosomal RNA, 279 nt
Filed under: uncultured bacterium
Lineage: Bacteria
Description: partial 16S ribosomal RNA
Rfam family: Bacterial small subunit ribosomal RNA
Source: RNAcentral
UGCCAGCCGCCGCGGUAAGACGGAGGGUGCUAGCGUUGUUCGGAUUUACUGGGCGUAAAGGGCGCGUAGGCGGCCGUUCAAGUCGGGUGUGAAAGCCCGGGGCUCAACCCCGGAACUGCAUUCGAAACUGAAUGGCUCGAGGACGAGAGAGGAAAGUGGAAUACCCAGUGUAGAGGUGAAAUUCGUAGAUAUUGGGUGGAACACCGGUGGCGAAAGCGGCUUUCUGGCUCGUUUCUGACGCUGAGGCGCGAAAGCGUGGGGAGCAAACAGGAUUAGAUA